CGAGCUUUAAACCACACCCAGCCGGCCCAUCAUCAGCUGGCUUCCCCAGUUUAUGAUACCCAGCCACAGCAGUUAAAGCUGCAGGUUCCACUGGGACCUGAGCGUCUGUGUCUUUAGAACCUUUACCAAUGCUCAGUGCUGGCUAACUGUAUGUCAGCUUAACACAAGAUGAAGUCAUCUGAAAGGAGGGAACCUCCAUAAAGAAAACGCCUCCAUAAGGUAGGCAAGCCUGUUGGGCAUUUUCCUAAUUAAUGGUGGAUGGGGGAAGGCCCAGCCCAUGGUGGGUGGUGCUAUCUCUGAGCUAGUGGUCCUGUGUUCUAUAAGAAAACAGGCUGAGCAAGGCAAGGGAAGCCAGCCAGUAAGCAACUCCCUCCAUGGCCUCUGCAUCAGCUCCUGCCUUCUGGUUCCUGCCCUGCUUGAGUUCCUGUCCUGACUUCCUUCAAUGAUGAGCAGUGAUGGGGAAGCUUGAGCCAAGUUAACCCUUUCCUCCCCAAGUAGCUUUUGCUCAUGGUGUUUCAUCACUGCAAAAGUCACCUAAAUUUAGAUGUACUCCUUCAGCCCACUGGCAUUUGAGACUCUCCAAGCCAAAUGAUAGCUGAUUCAUCCCAUGGAGUCACAAACACCACAGCUGAAACUUCAACCAGAAAAGAUUCACCACCGCACACUCCAAAUCACCUACCAGCCACUUUGUUUCAUUGUCUCUGCUUUGCUCCCUCCAAAUUCUAAAUGAUAGCAUCCAUGUCCGCGAAGUUAAAUAAAUUACAAAAUCCCAAGAUGCCGAAAUUGCUGAAAUGAAAUUCUGUAUUUUAAUUAUAUAUUAAUAUGAUGGCUGCUUGGUGUUUCACCAUCUAAACGUGGAAAACUCUCAGAAGACAUUUCAAUGGCUUCAGUCUUCUGACAACUCCCCAUCACCAGUGGCUCAGCACAAGCAGUCACAGGUCAGGUAACAGUCACAAGUGCCAGCAAGAGAAGUGUUGAUAGGAAGUGUCAGGCCUAGCAGAGUAUUUAAGUCUCUGGUCUCCGAACACAGGGAUGGAUUAAUACCACUGUCAAAGACCACGGCCCAUGAACACAUACUCCCAUGCCCUGCCUUUCUGCCAUGGGAUGAUGGAGCAAGGAGACCUCACACAUGUCUCCUUGAUUUGACCCCUGGGACAAAGUAACACCUGACUGUUAUUUUUUCAUAACCUUCUCACUCUGAGUUAGUCUCUUAUGGCAGCACAAAGAGAUGAAGACAGAGGCCAAACUGUGAGUUGCUGGAGCUUACCUGUCUGCCUCCCUCCCUCCACCACAGCUGUCUUUGUCCUCUGCAUGUCCUCACUGCACAGCCGUGAUGCUCACCACAACGCCUGUGUUGUUUUUACACUGAUUUACACUACCUAUGGAACCCACUCACCUGAUGGCUGCUCCCCAUGAUGCAUUCACUGAAUCCUGGUCUCCAGAGCUUUCUUCCCGAUCUUUCCCAGUAAAAUCAUUCUCUGCUGUUUUCCAUUCUUAAGAGGCCGGCUGCUACUACCUGCUUAUUUUGUUGGACUCUGCCUGGGAGAAGUGUGACAGCAAACAACAGUGUCCUGUUGUGUCUGGCCCUGGUCUGGGGCAAAGAGAGAAAUGGAUCUUAAGCUCCAGAUCCCAAUGCUUAUAUCCUGUGUUCUUGAGAGAAUUUCCCCUAAGUUAUGCGUCAACAAGGCCCACAAAGACAACCAGGCAAAAUGCCAGAGAAAGGUGCUCAGUCCUGGGGGGAUUCAGAGGAAGAGAGCUCACAUCUGCCAGGACAUGAGCCUUAGACACAAUACCACAGGGGGUGCCCUACAGUUCAUCCUAAAUGGCCCCUUGGGGUGGCUGCACUUCAAAUAAGAUAGAUAUAUCCUCCGCCACUGCCUCUGGAAAUGAAAACUGUGUUCAUGUGAGCACAGGCCACGUUGAUUUUUUUCUCCUGGCUAGAUCUUGUGGCAGUGAAGUCAUUCUGAUGUCAGUAGCAGUGGGCAACAACCAUCGUCACUGUCCCUUCAACUAGACUUGAGUCAAUGAGAUUUGUGUGAGUGUCAGGAACCCUGUGUGAAUGGGCCUUCUGAUGGUUGGUUUUAAAUGACAUUUUUCCAUAAUCUAGAACCAGAGAGAGAGAGAGAGAGAGAGAGUGUGUGUGUGUGUGUGUGUGUGUGUGUGUGUGUGUGUGUGUCUCAGUUGAGGAAUUGUCCAUAUCAGGUUAGCCUCUUGUCAAUGUCAAUUUGGGAUUGUCUUGAUUAUUAUUAAUUGACCCGGCCCACUGUGGGUAGCAUCAUUCCCUAGGCUGAGUCCUGAACUGUGAAAGAGUGAAGGAAGCUGCUGAGAGGAAGCAAGCAGGCAGUGUGAACGUGUUCAUCUCUCUCUGCUUGGCUACAGAUGUGAUACGACUAGCUGUUUGAGUUCUUCCUUUAACUUCCCCCAAAGAUGGACUACAACCUGGAAUUGUAUGCUUCAAUAAACUCUUCCUCCUCUAUGUUGAUGGGGGCGGAUCAGGAUAUUUGUCACACAGAGACAGAAAUGUGAUCAGUUCAAGCCUUCAGGUGUGUGGCCCAUAUGUGAUGCAAGCUAACCCAACACUUCCCUGGCUACAAGGGAAUAGGUGACCCAUUGAGAUUUCUGUGAGUCAGGCUCCAUGAUAAGAUUGAACCACAUGGUCUUACUUACUGAGAGCUGAGAGCAUAGAUAACCACACAGACGCUAAACAAGCAGCAUAGAUGAAGGCUGUGGUUUCUUCACAGCUGCCACAUGGUGAUCUUACCCUGCCCCACGAUUCUGGGCUGUACUGCUCCAUGGAAGAGGAUAUGACCCCUGUCUUCACACUGAGUAUGGGUUGUAGAUAUUCUUCUGUGUUCCAUGAAAGUACCCCCUUUCCUCAUACAGUCCUUACUCAGUCCCCACAGCCACUGCAUCACCUAGGGUGCUGUGGAGCAGAGGCCAACCCUCACUCUCAGUAAGUACACUGAGACAAGCCCGGGCUGCAUGAAAAUCUCCCCAGAGGGCUCUAGCCGGCAGUAGAGGAACUGCCGCCCAAGAUCCUGUGACCCAGAGACAAAUGAGCUAUUUUUCUUAUGCAGACCAAUUAAGAAUAUAAUUUGAUUGAGAUGCUACAUUAGCUUCAGAAUCCCUCAAAAACAUGCAAAAAUAUUUACAUAAUAGGAUGUUUUUUUCCUGGCUCCAGGUCACUAAUAUAUAAGCGUUUCUGCAUAUAAAGUUCACAGUCUUCAAAUUCUUUGUAAGGAGCUGUCUUACAAUGAAAUCUAAGUAUAUCUGCCAAGUUCUCAAGAAGAUUAUUCAUUGAUCAUUCAGUGUUUUUUUGAAACUACUUGUUGGUAAAUCCCUCUUUAAGGGACCAUGAAUAAUCACUUGAGGGUAAGAAAUACACUAAACCAAAUGCCAAUCCACUGCCAACAAUUUACAACAAAAACAAAAUCAGCUUCGAAAUCCAAACACCACACAAAUGAAAACAGGGGCUUUUGUUCUUGGCCUUCAAGUCAAUUCUUUGGUUUUCUUUUAGCUCUUGAAAAUAACAACUGGGGAAAUUAAGCAUAUUUAUAGACAGUCUAAUUUUACCCUUUCUUGUAAUGCUGAUUCCAAGGUGGUUUUAUCAACAGUCACAGUGAAAGUGGAGAGGAUUUCCAAAGUUGUAAAUUCUAUUGGAAAUGAGUUACAAAUAAAGAAAGGUCCACAAACCAUUCUUGGAAAAGAUACCAAAGCUUAGCCUAACCCCUGAAGGGUGUGAACCUGGAAUAACAGGGACAUGUGCUUCCAAAUGUUAUCAAGGGGUGCUUAAGAUUAUCUAUGUGCUUGCAUCUGUGUGUGCUCACAUGUAUGUGCACAUGUAUGUUCAGAUGGUCUCAAAAACCAGAAGAGAGCACCAGAUCCCCUGAAACUGGAGUUACAGGCAGUUGUGAGCCACCCAACAUGGGUGCUGGGAUCCAGACUCUGAACAGCAACGUCUCUGUAGUUACACAGAGUGGGUCAAUCCCAGCACACUUAAUUCAGUCAGAACUCUUAGAUUGCAGCCAUGUGUCUGCACUAAGUACCCCAAGAUAUCUUUGAGUCAUCACUCCAACCUAUGUUUGUUUUUACUCAUUCAGAAAUGAUACAUAAAACAUUCCAGGAAAAGAAUGCAAAAACAACUCAUCUGUGAGGCCAUCGUGGAAAAAGGAAGUGAUAAUAAAUAAAGACACAACAACUGAAUUGUCCUUUCCCUCAGGGAAUUUAUCAUGCAAAUGCCUUGUAUGGGACUCAGAGAUCUGUGUUUAGGGAAACAAGCUGAAUAAAAUGUGGCCAUGUCAUCAAGGCACUCACCACCCAGGCUACAGAGCGGUGUAAUGAUAAGUCUUUCCGACAAGCUGCCUGAGCCCUGCCACCACGUGGGUGCCCAAAAUAACACACAGAGGUUAAUAUUAUUUACAAUGCUGCUGGCCAAUGGCUAGGAUUUCUUAUCUGCUGUCUCUGUUUUAAGUAUCAAUCAUAAUUAUUAAUCUAUAUAUUUUAUAAAGACUUAUCUGAUCAAGGAUGCUGGCGGCAUGCAUCCUCUCUUUUCAGGCUCACAUGGUGGCUCCAGAGAAGAGAGCAGGAGGAAGAGGAAGCAAGUGAUUCCCUGCUUGUCCCUACGUAUAUUCUGAGUCUGCCUGCUAUGUCACUUCCUGCCUGGAUCACAAAAUUUCUCUUUACUACAUUUCCCAGAAUCCUCCUCAACUCCUAGUCCCGCCUAACUUG
This 4728-nucleotide long non-coding RNA is filed under the name Cricetulus griseus (Chinese hamster). RNAcentral's name for it is "lncRNA (ENSCGRG00015029868.1)". Lineage: Eukaryota; Metazoa; Chordata; Mammalia; Rodentia; Cricetidae. The record is from RNAcentral.